Molecule: long non-coding RNA, 3622 nt
Organism: Triticum aestivum (bread wheat)
Lineage: Eukaryota; Viridiplantae; Streptophyta; Magnoliopsida; Poales; Poaceae
Exons: 7
Source: RefSeq, a predicted model, not a curated record
GCAAAGGAGCCAAAUCCCUAGCUCUUCGUUCCCCACACGCGCCGCCUGAGGUCCAGUGGUCGUUCCCACGCCGUCCCACCGCCGCCACACAUCACCCGGGGCUAUCGCCGAUUGAUCCCGGUGCCAUCCCACCACCAGCCCACCACCACCCACCCCGCCCUACCUCUGCAGCGCCGCCCCACGCCACCCUCCCUCUGCCGCGCCACUCCAGCGCCGCCCAACGCCGUCCGGCCUCUCCACUACCGGCUCCACGCCCUCAUGCUACAUCCAGCAAAGUUGCCGCCCCCUCCCUGGCCGGACCUCCCGCAUCUGCACCACGAAGGGACAUGCGGCGAGUUGGAUCUGGGCAGCGUGCUGCUGGGCAAGGUCAUCGAUACGAGCAUAUGACUGAGGAACUAAUGGACUGAAUGGAAUUGCCAUUAGCUUCAGAAGGAGGCAUAAUCUAGAAACUCCUAGAUCGCAGCACAAUUCCAAUUCUCGACAAAACUCAAGAGUUGAAGCUGAGGAACAUAAUGAUGGUGAAGACAACGACGAUGAGGAGCCCUUUGUUCAUAGAAGAGUUGUUGCAAAGCCCCCUCCAAGAAGCUCAUCAGCCCAUGAAGAUGAAAGCCUUGCAACAAUUAUCUCCAGUUGAUCCAGACACUAUUGUGGGCGAAGAGCCCCUUGGACCAGCGACUUAUGAGGUUCUUGUCAAUGUUGUGAUCAGAAGGGAUACUAUGGUGCCUUAUGAAUAUGAAGGCUUACAAUCUACCGCUGAUGCUGACACAGGGCCAUUGCAUGACCAUCUAGCAAGAUGAAAACCUACAAACCAGGGGCAUCUUCCUCGUCCCACCGCCAAGGUAUUUUUCCAAUCACUAUUUUUGAGCUAGUAUUUAUUUGUGUAUUGUAUAGGAGAAAUCUUCUCAGUUUCUGAAUACUGAGCUAGUAUUCAUUUUUUGAGCUACGAACCAGGGACCGAAAUGAGCUAAGUUUUUUUUGAGCUACAAACCAGGGCUGGUCCAUCUUCUCUUAUUAUCAUGUUUGCCUAGCUCACUGCCACUUCUCUUCAUCUAAAGUUUGUAUUAGAUAAUGUACAAUACAUAGUCUCAGUUUGUCUUAAAUAACCUCCUCUAGUACUGUUUGUUCAUGAAUCUAGUCCUUCAGUUUGUUCAUGAAUAACCUCCUGUUGUACUAUUUGUUCAUGUAUCUGGUCCUUCAGUCUAGGAAUCUGGUCCUUCAGUUUUGCUGAACAGAGAAUACUCAUUGUCUUAUUUUUGGCUAAUUCCAUAGUUAAUAACCUUUUGUAACUACAAGUCUCACUCGGUACACACACACAUAUAUCAGCAUCAGGGCACAUCCAUAGUACAGAACAGAGCAUAAUACACUGCUAGUUGCUUUUAAUGUUGCUAUUUCUGAAUCUUGUUUCUAGGCUAACCUAGUAUUUAUAAUCUUUAUUUCUCUUAUGCGUAACCUGAUGGUUUAGGUUCUGGCACUUAUACCUAUGAAGAUUUGUAUGUACAGUACAUAUGCUUCUCUGAAACUAAUGGAUUAAUUUAAUCUAUUUUUGCAAGGUAUAAUUUAAUCUAAUUUGUGGCACUGAAGUACAUAUGUUUUUCUCUGAUGCAUUUCUGAAUAUAAUAGUCAGGCACACUACAGUCUUUUCCAUCCCAGAGAAAAGUAAGAAAGAAAACUAGUGGUCUUCUCUAGAAAAAAGCUGUACUUUUGAAAAUAUUUUGAGGUGUUUGUCCAAGUACAUACCAUGGUUUUACAAACUGUAGUAUCCCCAAUGUAUCUAUUGCUGUCACCAGGAAGAUAGAAUUCUGUUCUCGGUGUCCAUGUAUCUAUUGCUGCCACGAGGAAGAUAGCAACAUCGCUUUCAGUACCAUUCAAUUUAUGGCCACAACUGAAGACUAAACAAAGAUAGUUGAAAUACUAUACUUCUCACGUGGAUAGAAAACACCAGUAAGGUGUAUCUCUAAUACUUAGCUAUAUGGUACUAGUUCUCUAGAAAAAGAAGUUACAUGACCACAUAACUCUUUCUUGUGUUCAAGAAAUAAAAAUUAUGUAGUGUCAAUUAGGUCUUUUAUGUCUCAUAUUCUAUCUAUCUUACAGAUCUCUGAUGGUGGAAAGACAACAUUUGUUUAUGUCAUUGUCGAUAAGAAAAUGUGAGAAUAUAUCUUUUCUUUCGUCAUUAUUGUCGAAAGGCAACUAGUACUUAGCUUCUUGUAGUUAUAACUAGAUGAGUGUAGCAGUCAACACAGCUACAGCUACAACAUUUGUUUAUGUUCCUUGGUCUGCACCUCGACAUAAAUUAUUUUCAGUUUCACGACAUAACAUAAACUGUUCAGUGCACAACAUUUUUUUCACCCUGUGAUAUAAAUCACGUGAAGAUAAUCAUGAAAUGGUUGAAUCAUCCAAUUAUUUCUCAAAACUUUGGGUCGCGUCUCCUGGUCGACUUUGGUUAUUCUUAGUGUGACACUUCUGUAUGGAUCCCAAGUUUACAGGCCUGCAAAUCGGAAUUAUUCACCUCAAAGUUAGCUGGCUGUAUAUUCAUUUUCUAUGUUUCAUACAUGAUGCUCUUUACUGUUAAGUUGAACAGAUAGUACUGUAGUACUUAGUGGAAAGGAAAUUUCAUCAGCUUGCAUGUAUAUUAAUUGUAUGAUUUUUUGUCUUUCCAGGUUGCUGUCAGGUUGUGUAGGAAAGACAGACACUACACCACGCACUAGAUUUUCCUACAGAUGUGUGUUGUGAAAAGUCAGUUUCGCCGGCAAUUUUGUUUUCUUAUAUUGCUAUAUCAUUUUGUGCUUCUAAUGUUUUUCUGCACCAUUCGAGCUAGUAUGUUUUGCAUCAAAAAAUUAAAUGUGCACCACACUUUUUCAUCAAAUAUUCAUCUAUAGGCUGUAUGACUUUUAUUUUCCUAAACCUCCCUGGGCCAUUCGUGAGAGGGAGACAAUGUAAAUAUUCAAUUUUGUGUAAUGAUUUUCGCAAUAGCUUUUCUUGUGGGUUUGGCAAUUAUGUAAAGAUAAUUGACUAUAGCACAAACUGAAGAAGUUCUUGACCAUGUUUGUGUAAUUUGUACAUAGUAAGGAAACUAUGAUGUAGGUUGCAGUUCAUUUACAUGGCAUCGUAAGGAUUAAAACAUAUAUAUUAAUGCCUUAAAUUUAUGUUGCCUUUUUUUAUUUAAAGCAAAGACCGCUUUCUCGUGACUGUUGUUUGAAAAGUUGUCUCUCAGGUGGAAUUAGCUCAUGGUGGGAGUGAUUAAUCUUACUCGUAUGAUCGCCCAAGCAGCGUUAGCAAUGGAUGCCAUGGAGGUGUUUCUAGGUGCUCUGAGUACCAAGCGAUGUACUCAUAUAGCAUGCCUUUUACAAGAGGAAAAAUGGCAGAGUAUGAACACCAACUGAAAGUAGCAGAGUAUGAACUAAUGAAAAGUCGAAAGGCGCAAACAUAAGGAUUGGAAUCACAAUGAACCAUGAAGCCAGUGAUCCGCAUCAACUGGAUGUUCUACUUUUCAUUUUGUACAAUUGAUGUCUCAUACUACUUUCAUCUUUUUGCUUCUGUAAAUCUGGUGUAUGGUGUCCUGUGCGAACAGACUGAAGUGUAUGUAUGUGACAAUUAGUUAAUGGAAUAAAAAAUGUUUGGUGCA